Molecule: transfer RNA, 88 nt
Filed under: Lutibacter flavus
Lineage: Bacteria; Pseudomonadati; Bacteroidota; Flavobacteriia; Flavobacteriales; Flavobacteriaceae
Description: tRNA_Leu_GAG
Rfam family: tRNA
About the family: Transfer RNA (tRNA) molecules are approximately 80 nucleotides in length. Their secondary structure includes four short double-helical elements and three loops (D, anti-codon, and T loops).
Source: RNAcentral
GCGCGUGUGGCGGAAUUGGUAGACGCGCCAGCUUGAGGGGCUGGUGUUCGCUUAGAACGUGCUGGUUCGAGUCCAGUCACGCGCACUA